ACGGCUCAGUAACACGUGGACAACCUACCCAAAGGUCUGGGAUAACUCCGGGAAACUGGGGAUAAUACCGGAUAGGUCAAGAGUACUGGAAGGGUUUUUUGAUUGAAAGCUCUGGCGCCUUUGGAUGGGUCUGCGGCUGAUUAGGUUGACGCCGGUGUAAAGUACCGGCGUGCCGAUUAUCAGUACGGGUUGUGGGAGCAAGAGCCCGGAGAUGGAUUCUGAGACACGAAUCCAGGCCCUACGGGGCGCAGCAGGCGCGAAAACUCUACAAUGCAGGCAACUGCGAUAGGGGAACAUCGAGUGGCAUCUACAUUAGGUGUCUGUCCAGCUGUCUAAAAAACGGCUGUUAGCAAGGGCCGGGCAAGACCGGUGCCAGCCGCCGCGGUAAUACCGGCGGCUCGAGUGGUGGCCGAUAUUAUUGAGUCUAAGGGGUCCGUAGCCGGCUUUGCAAGUCUUGUGGGAAAUCCAGCGGCUUAACCGUUGGGCGUCUGCGGGAUACUACAUUGCUUGGGACUGGGAGAGGUGGGAGGUACUCAGGGGGUAGGAGUGAAAUCCUGUAAUCCUCUGGGGACCACCGGUGGCGAAGGCGUCCUACCAGAACAGGUCCGACGGUGAGGGACGAAAGCUAGGGGCACGAACCGGAUUAGAUACCCGGGUAGUCCUAGCCGUAAACGAUGCCCGCUAGGUGUCACGGCAGUCGUGAACUGCCGUGGUGCCGUAGGGAAGCCGUGAAGCGGGCCACUUGGGAAGUACGACCGCAAGGUUGAAACUUAAAGGAAUUGGCGGGGGAGCAC
Molecule: ribosomal RNA, 794 nt
Filed under: uncultured Methanosarcinaceae archaeon
Lineage: Archaea; Methanobacteriati; Methanobacteriota; Methanomicrobia; Methanosarcinales; Methanosarcinaceae
Description: bacterial SSU rRNA
Rfam family: Archaeal small subunit ribosomal RNA
Source: RNAcentral